AGCAGCCGCGGUAAUUCCAGCUCCAAUAGCGUAUAUUAAAGUUGUUGCAGUUAAAAAGCUCGUAGUUGAAUUUCGGGAUUGACACAUCGGUCGUGCCUUAAGGGGUAUGAACUGGUGUAGUCAAUUUCUCACCUUCUGGAGAACCGCGAUGCCCUUAAUUGGGUGUCGCGAGGAACCAGGACCUUUACUUUGAAAAAAUUAGAGUGUUUAAAGCAGGCAUUUUGCUUGAAUACAUUAGCAUGGAAUAAUAAAAUAGGACGGCAUGAUUCUAUUUUGUUGGUUUUAGGAUCACCGUAAUGAUUAAUAGGGAUAGUUGGGGGCAUUAGUAUUCAAUUGUCAGAGGUGAAAUUCUUGGAUUUAUUGAAGACUAACUACUGCGAAAGCAUUUGCCAAGGAUGUUUUCAUUAAUCAAGAACGAAAGUUAGGGGAUCGAAGACGAUCAGAUACCGUCGUAGUCUUAACCAUAAACUAUGCCGACUAGGAAUCAGACGAUGUUAAUUUUUUAAUGACUCGUUUGGCACCUUACG
Molecule: ribosomal RNA, 527 nt
Filed under: uncultured Entrophosporaceae
Lineage: Eukaryota; Fungi; Glomeromycota; Glomeromycetes; Entrophosporales; Entrophosporaceae
Description: SSU rRNA
Rfam family: Eukaryotic small subunit ribosomal RNA
Source: RNAcentral